Triticum dicoccoides is the source of this 2528-nucleotide long non-coding RNA. RefSeq lists it as uncharacterized. The transcript is spliced from 2 exons. The record is from RefSeq and is a predicted model, not a curated record. Lineage: Eukaryota; Viridiplantae; Streptophyta; Magnoliopsida; Poales; Poaceae.
CACUGCUCACUCUCUUUAUCUAAAUUAUUCCGCAAGUUGGUAGAACUUGCAUGCCCAUAAGUCCAUAACAUAGGUUUCUUUGAAUAUUAUAACAAGAUAAAUUUAGAAUAUAGUCAUGAGAACUUUGGUUCUAUGUUGUCAUUUGGUUUAGAACUAUGUAGCUACAACAUAUAUUUAAUUCAGCGCAAUAUAUGUUAGAUCAGAUAGCCGAAUCCAUGAGCUACAAACAUUUGAUUUUGCUCCCUGGUUCAUUCAGUAGGUUUAGUUCGAAGAAUAGUAUUUUCUUUCUUUGAUUACUGUAUAGAGAAGAGUGUCUAAGAGACCCGCUUGCCGAGCGGAGUCCAUCUGGGGAGGUUAUUCCCUCUACUAAGUAAUUUUAUGCUCUAUGCUUUCGAGGUCUGGCUCAUAGGACAAGCUAUAAUAUGGAAACGGAAUGCUUUGCAAAUGCAGAGUAUCAGAUACUGGUGUUCUAUUGUUCUAUUCAUGACCCUACACAUGAUUACAAGUAUGUUGGCUAACAUGAUAGAUAGUACUACAUGUACGUCCAAUUUUCCUGCAAUUGGUUUAUUAGAUAGCCUGAGUAUUCACCAAAUUGUUCUAUACUUUAUCUUUGUCUUCCCUGAUUUUAAUUAACCCCGUUGAGCUUGUUUAUGACGUAGGCCGAGCCUUGUGUUGUGAGUAUCCCAGGCCGAAUGAUGCUUGAUCUCCUUUUAGAGGAGCUUGAGUUGCCGGCAGCCCGUUACGGUCGAAGGGACUAUUUAAAUAACACCAUGAGUUUCACCAUCAUGUUCUGGACCUCUGUUCCAAGGGAAGAAUGUCAAUUACUAAUUACUAAGUAAACAAUCCAUAGGAUCUGCAUCAUGCAAUGAAGGCAAAGCUCUGUAUUUCCCAUAUUGGUGAACAGGGGAACUUAAGAUCAAGUUAGUUUUAUUGUGUUUCAUAGAUCUUCUGCAUAUCAUAUUCUCAUGCUUAAGAAGGAAUCUUGAAUUUCCCAGAGGCUCAAAAGUUAAAUAAAAACGAUAGAGAUCAUGGUUAGAGGUUACUUUUUGUGUAGAAAUAAUAGGUUAUAUCUUCUGCUUUCUACCAGAAGAAAUGAUAAAUCAAGGUGGAUAAUAACAGGUUAUAUCACAAUAGUGAUCAAAGGGAAUAGAUAUACUUUUGCAAGUCAUCCAUGGAAUUUUAUCAGACAAAUUUAUUUUCUUCAGAUGUGUAAUCCUAUUUUUCCGAGAUAUAUGUAUUUCUUCUUGCUCAUUCUUUUGGGCUUAGGGGCAGUAGAAUAAUCAGAAUAUACCUGGAGUGUUUGUACCAUCUGCAUACACUUUAGCUCAAAAUAAUAAUGUGCUUCCUGUUACUUGCUCUGUUUUGAUAAUGUACAUACAUCAGUUGUGAUAUAUAUAAUUGGUAGCAGAUAAACAAUAUUAGUUUUCCAGUGAAUGAUUUUAGAUUCUUCCAUGAAAGCAUCUCCCCCCUUUUUUCGGUUUUUAUUUCAUGAAAUGAGUUACGAUGACUGUCGUGAUAUAUUUCUUCUCUUAAUAUUUAUUACCAUGAACUAGAGUAUCCAGUGUGUGUAGUUGUAUACCACCUUUUUAGAAAAGAAUCAUAAAUUGCUACUAUACAUUUAUCAGGGUGUGUAGCAUCAGAUCUACACCUUGCAGAAAACAACUCAAGGAGUAAUGCUAAAAUAUUUGUCACUUCUGGUUCAGUCCAGGGGUAAAUUAAAUAUGUAAAGUUCGUCGUGCAAUUUAGAUUGUUAAUUGGAUUAUAUGCAUGAUGAUAUCUCUUCUAUUUUUUUGGUCAAAUACCUUGAGCCGAGGAUAUUAUUAUGACAGGCUUAGCAUUAGUGCAGUGCGGAAGUAACUGUUCUUAGAUUCUCAUGCUAACAAUAAUAUAUUUUGAUCGUUUUCUAUGGUUGAGAAGAUAUAUAUGGUCAAUGCAAGAUUGAAUUUAUUUAUUUGUGGAUACUGGCAGCGCACAUGUCGAUGUUCGGCAGGGUAUCGACAUCUGCGGUUUCACCAUCUCUGCACCAUCCCGAGGUCUUGCAUCUGCUUCUCCUUCUCGGCAGAAGAUGGUAGUCGGUCAAAUAUCUGUAGCCCCUAUGUGUGGUUGUUCAGCAGGGUAUCGCCAACAACGAUUUCCCCAUCUCUGCAUCAUCUUGAGAUUAUAUGGUGGAAAGAGGAGGCAUAGAGGGGGGGUGUAGUGGGAAGAAGAGAGGGUGAGAGAGGAGGAAGUGGAGACCCUGCCGGCGUAUUGGUGAAAAACCACCUCCCUGACUUUCUACACCAUGGGUUAUCAUCUAAAAUUGAUUUUUAGAGGAAUCAGGACAUGUUCUUUUUUCCUUUCCACAGUUUCUCAUCUAAAAUGGAUUUUUAGAGGAAUCAGGAUCUGGUUCCUGGACCAUUUGCUAUGUACUGAAUGUGUAUGUACCAAUGCAAUGCUUCUGAUAGAAAUUUGAUAUAUUAGAUUGACAAACAUAACUAAAUUAUACAAUUUUUUUUAUAUUUGCAAUGAUUCAAUGACUAUAUUACUGA